Bemisia tabaci is the source of this 1094-nucleotide non-coding RNA. The record is from RefSeq and is a predicted model, not a curated record. Lineage: Eukaryota; Metazoa; Arthropoda; Insecta; Hemiptera; Aleyrodidae.
CGAUCGCGGGGGAAUCAGUAAACAGAGGUGUGUGCUUUUCAACGGGAUAUCAAAACUCGAAUCAGGAGUGAUCAUUUCAGUACCCGCUUCCGAUCAGCAACGACAUGGCCUUCAAACACGUCUCCUUGUACCUCACCCUCUUGGUCUCUGUCCAGGUUUGCCUGGCUGGACCAACCACUACCCCUGCACCUUUUACCUUGCCGACAUUCGCAGAACUUCUCACCAACGCCCAGAAAUCCAUCAAUGAAGCUGCCUCUCAUGUGCAACAUAUGCUGGGCAUGCCUGAAGUGAAGAAUGUUGACCAGAUUGUUGCCGUCGUGAAAAACGCAUCGGUAGACUUCACCAAAAAAGUCAACGAUGUUCUAACGACCGUCAAAACAGAGGUUGAUCCAAAUGCCAAAGCAGCAGCUGCCGCUUUCCAAAAGUUUUAUUCCGAAGUGAACAAGACGGCGACUGAGUUGGCCAAGAAGGUGCCAGAACUUCAGUCGACGGAUGUCGAGAAGGUCUUCACCAAGUCACUCAGCAGCAUCGUCGAGGAAGGAAACAAGUUGAGAGCUGCCCUGGAAAAGGAAGCACCCCAUGCGCAAGAAAGUUUGACAAAGGCUGCCCAGAACAUUAUUGACAGCGCUGUCAAGGCUGCAAAUUCAUUCGCUGGAGAGCAAUUUUACAAAAUCCUGUACCCUGACAAACAAUAGAGUUUUCUAGGGGUAGGAGGGGUUGAGGGGGAGGGCCUUUGAGGGUGGGAACCCCGAACGCGUUUCCGCUCUCCCCUUUUGCGCUGAAUUUCAGUAUUGACGCUAAACCUAAAAGGAAGACUCAAGUGCACGAGACUGUCGGCCACAAUAAUCACCCAGACCACGCAAAGCACCACAAAGCUUAAACUCAUCUAAAAUAUUUCAAUCAGUAUCAUCAUUCAUCAAGUUACCAUUGCACACGUGGACAAUCGCCCCCAGACGUCACCCAGUUAAGUUACCACUUGUGACCUCCAACGAAGUGUUUUCCUCUUGACUUAUUCCUGUAUGUGACCGAUGAUACCUCAAAUAAGACGAAUCCUUAAUGUUAAGUAAAAUAAAUCAUAGUGAUUAAGUUUUUCA